RNAcentral lists this transfer RNA (71 nucleotides) under Nanobdellota archaeon. RNAcentral's name for it is "tRNA-Ala". It matches the Rfam family "tRNA". Rfam says of the family: Transfer RNA (tRNA) molecules are approximately 80 nucleotides in length. Their secondary structure includes four short double-helical elements and three loops (D, anti-codon, and T loops). The record is from RNAcentral. Lineage: Archaea; Nanobdellati; Nanobdellota.
GGGCCUGUAGUCCAACGGCAGAAUACUUCACUUGCACUGAAGAGUUCCGGGUUCAAUUCCCGGCAGGUCCA